UACGAAGGGAGCUAGCGUUGUUCGGAAUUACUGGGCGUAAAGGGCGCGUAGGCGGUUAAACAAGUCAGGCGUGAAAGCCCCGGGCUCAACCCGGGAACUGCGCUUGAGACUGUUUUUCUAGAGUACGGUAGAGGUAAGUGGAAUUCCCAGUGUAGCAGUGAAAUGCGUAGAUAUUGGGAGGAACACCAGUGGCGAAGGCGGCUUACUGGACCGUAACUGACGCUGAGGCGCGAAAGCGUGGGGAGCAAACAGG
Molecule: ribosomal RNA, 253 nt
Filed under: uncultured bacterium
Lineage: Bacteria
Description: partial 16S ribosomal RNA
Rfam family: Bacterial small subunit ribosomal RNA
Source: RNAcentral